ACAAUCAACACAGCCUCCGCGCUGUCUUCGAGCCAAUUCGUUCCCCCUGCCCGCUCCGUGGAUUUGGAAUUGAGCGUGCUGAAUUUGAGUCGAGCUUCGGCUAGAAUUUAACCUUCCGUCUGGCAACUUCAGCCAAUGGCGUCAUCCUUCAAGUGACCUGAUUCAGUUUCUGCCCUCGCCGCCAUGGCGCAGGUUCUCGGAGCGUUAUGCUGCAGUCUUCGCGCAAUGUUCGCGACUUUCCCGGCUAGCAAGGUUCGCACGGAUGAGAACCCUCCCGCAAGCAGUGCUUCCUGUACGACACUGCGGGUACAGCACCAAGUUCCUGACGGGGAUUAGAACAGACACCAGCAAGCAGAAGUGGACCUCCGACAGCGAUCUGGUUGCUAAGACACCAGCCAGCCAAGCCAGCCACGCCAAGCCCAGCCAAGCCCAGCCCAGCCCAGCCCAGCCCAGUCAAGCCAAGCCAAGCCAAGCCAAGCCAAGCCCGGCCAAGCCCAGCCAAGCCAAGGCAAGCCAAGGCAAGUCCAGCCCAGCCAAGUCCAGGCAAGCCGAGCCCAUCCAAGCCCAGCCAAGCCAGCCAGCCUUAUUUUUUCCAUUGGCAACGUGGGUGCACGACCAAAAAGCAAGUAGAAUGGCGAAUAUUCGGCGGUGUCCUGACGAGUUGUACAGAAACGCCAGAUAGGGUAUCGCAAGAUGCCAGUCACGGUGGUCUAAUGAACCAUGCCUAUAGCACGACCAUGAAGGCGCGACUUAAGUGCUCUGUGAUGCCGUUCAAGGUGACAGGAAGCUCAUCUUGUGCGGCGUUGAGCGGCAGCACGAGAUUUCAUCAAUGACUCUGGGCAAAAAGGACCGGCCGCGGUCCAUGAGUAAAUGGCGUGGGGCCGCAUGGUUCAAUUUGACGUCGUGCAGGAGAAAGUGAACGGAGCUAGUAGCAGAGGUCUUGGCAUAAUUAACUUGGCAGAACCUGCCAAGGUAUUUUAGUACGGAAAAACAUUGUAAAAGCAGUGAUUUGUUCUACAUGCCCAAGCUAGCUGCUCAUGUAAGAUGCCCAUGCAAGAACCACAUAUAUGCUUUUACACCAACCCAUUUCAGGGCUGGGUAUCGGCAAAAAUCGAAAUUGAAAUAGUAUUUUUAUUUUCUUUUAAAGUGAACUGUUACUACCAUUGCCAUUCUGGAGAGGUUAUUCCUAGAUAUAGCUACCUUGUUAUAGGUUUAGCAGCUUAUUUUAGGAUAUAGCAAAUGGUGGCGUUUAAGCUAUAGACUAAUGUUUUUUCCCAUGACAAGUAAUUUGCGCAGAUUCAUUUAUUAAUAAUGUGAGCAAACUGCCAAUGCAUAUGCAUGGGCAGUGUGAGACAUGAAUGCCGCGAAUUUCAGCUUUUUAGAUAAAUCAAUGAACUCAGUGCACUGAUGAUUUUAUUUACUAUAGACUUUUUUAGUGACAACAACUCUGAGCAAAUUUAUUUAUCAGACCUGUAAGUUAGUCUCCGUAUGCGUGCAUUUCCAGUGUGAGGAAUGUAUGCGUGGAAUUUCAGCUUUUCAUUGUUGGGGGUGAAGAUGAGUGCAUUUAGGAACUUGUGGGCUUAUGUUUUAUUCCGCGAUGAGUAAUUCGCACACAUUUGCUGAUCAGACAUUUCACUUAGUGUCAGUAUACAUCCGUUUGCCGGUGCAAUGAUGUAUAAGUCGAAUCUGAUGCUUUCAGACAACUGAGUGAACACGAAUUUAGCUUCUAAUGUACUCUAGACUAUGUUAUUUUAGCGAUAACUCAUGUGCGGAAAUUCAUUUUUCAGUACUGUCAGCCAGUGUCAGCGUACGUGGACUUCCUGUGGGAACGGUGUAUGCGUGUGAUUCGAGCUUUUCAUUUGAUUGACUGAACAUGAGUGCACUGGAAUACUAGUUAGCUUAUGCUUUUAUUUCGUGAUAAGUAAUUUGCACAUAUUCGCUUAUGGGACAUGUAACUUUUUGUCAGUAUACUUCCAUUUGCAGGGGCAGAGAGGUAUGACUCGAAUCUGAGCUUUUUAGAAGUGAGUGAACAUGCACUGAAGUUCUAAGGUACUCUGGGCUUACGUUUCUUUUAGCGAUAAAUUAUUAGAGCAAAUUCGUUUAUCACUCCUGUAAGUAAAUGUUGGUAUGCGUGAAUUUCGAGCGGAAGCAAUGUAUGCGUAUAAUUUAAGCUUCUGAUUGCAGUGAGCGAAGAUGAGUGCAUUCAGAAAUUAGUGGGCUUAUGUUUUUUUUCAUCGAUAAGUAAUUUGCACAUAUUCCCUUAUCAGACAGGUAACUUAGUAUCAGUAUAGUUCCAUUUGCAGGAGAAGUUAUGUACGAGUCAAAUCUGAGCUUUUAAGAGGAGUGAGUGAACACGCAUUGAGGUCCUAAUUUACUGAUAGCCAUGUUUUAGCGGUAAGUGAAGUGCGCAAAUUCGCUUAUCAGUCGUGCAAGUCAGUGCAGCAUAAGUGCAUUUGCAUUGGGAGCGAUGUAGGCGUGGAAUUUGAGCUUUUCAUUGGAGUGAAUGAACAUGAGUGAACUGUAGGACGUGCGUGCGUAUGUUUUUUUCCACGAUAAGUAAGUUGCGCAUUUUCGCUUACCGUACAUGUAGCUUGCUGAAUAUAUACGUCCACGUGUAGGGGCAGUGGUGUAUGAUUCGAAUCUGAGCUUUUCAGAGGAGUGAGUGGACACGCAUUGAGGUUCUAAUUUACUAUAGGCUCUUGUUUUUUUAGCGAUAACAAAUUUGCGCAGAUUCGUUUAUCAGUCUGGUAAACAAGUUUCAGCAUACGAGCAUUUCCAGCGAGAGUGAUGUAUGCGUGGAAUUUGAGAUUUUCAUUGGAGCAAGUCAACAUGAGUGUAUAGGGGUACUAGUGUUUUCUGCGAUAAGCAUUUGGCACAUAAUCCCAUAUGCGACAUGUAACGUAGUUUUCCUAUACAUCCAUUUGCAGGGAAAGUGAUGGAUGUGUCCAAUCGGUGCUUUCCCGAGGUGUGACUGAACACACUCUGAGGUUCUGAUGUAGUAUAGGCUUACAUUUCUUUAGCGAUAGAAAACUUGAGCAGACUCCUUUAUCACUCCUGUGUGUUAGUGUCAGCAUACGUGCAUUUCCAGUGGGAGCGGUGUAUGCGUGCAAUUUGAGCGUUAGAUUGGAGUGAUUGAGCAUUAGUGCUAUGGGGUUCUAGUGGGCUAAAGCGUUUUCCUGGAGAAGUUACUCACAGUUAUUUGAUUCCGAGACGUGCAAUUUUGUGUCAGUAUAAGUCCAUUUACAGGGGUAGGGAUGUGUGAUUCACAUCUGAGUUUUUACAGGAGUGAUUGAUCACGCAAUGAAUGUAUAAUAUUCCUUAGGCUGUUUUUUUAAGCGAUAACAAAUUUUUGCAACUUGGUUUAUGAGUCCUGUAAGUUUGUGUCGGUAUACGUGCAUUUCCAGUGGGUGCGAUGUAUGCGAGGAAUUUGGGCUUUGUAUUGGAGUGAGUAAACAUGAGUGCACUGGAGCACCAGUGGGGUUAUGUUUUUUCCGCGGUAUGUAAUUUUACAUUGUCGCUUAAUCAGACGUGUAACUUAGUGUCAGUAUAC
Non-coding RNA from Dermacentor albipictus, 3550 nucleotides. Lineage: Eukaryota; Metazoa; Arthropoda; Arachnida; Ixodida; Ixodidae. The record is from RefSeq and is a predicted model, not a curated record.